UACGUAGGGGGCAAGCGUUGGUCCGGAAUUAUUGGGCGUAAAGGGCUCGUAGGCGGUUCGUCACGUCGGGAGUGAAAACUCGGAGCUCAACGUCCGAGCCUCGCUUCCGAUACGGGCAGACUAGAGGUAGGCAGGGGAGAGCGGAACUCCUGGUGUAGCGGUGGAAUGCGUAGAUAUCAGGAGGAACACCGGUGGCGAAAGCGCUCGUCUGGCCCAAUACUGACGUGAUGCGGCGAAAGCUAGGGGGAGCAAACGGG
RNAcentral lists this ribosomal RNA (257 nucleotides) under uncultured bacterium. Its description in RNAcentral is "partial 16S ribosomal RNA". It matches the Rfam family "Bacterial small subunit ribosomal RNA", at positions 524 to 776 of the family's 1533-position model. The record is from RNAcentral.